Molecule: ribosomal RNA, 1265 nt
Filed under: 'Ananas comosus' shoot proliferation phytoplasma
Lineage: Bacteria; Bacillati; Mycoplasmatota; Mollicutes; Acholeplasmatales; Acholeplasmataceae
Description: bacterial SSU rRNA
Rfam family: Bacterial small subunit ribosomal RNA
Source: RNAcentral
CCGUUGGAAACGACUGCUAAGACUGGAUAGGAGACAAGAAGGCAUCUUCUUGUUUUUAAAAGACCUAGCAAUAGGUAUGCUUAGGGAGGAGCUUGCGUCACAUUAGUUAGUUGGUGGGGCAAAGGCCUACCAAGACUAUGAUGUGUAGCCGGGCUGAGAGGUUGAACGGCCACAUUGGGACUGAGACACGGCCCAAACUCCUACGGGAGGCAGCAGUAGGGAAUUUUCGGCAAUGGAGGAAACUCUGACCGAGCAACGCCGCGUGAACGAUGAAGUAUUUCGGUACGUAAAGUUCUUUUAUUAGGGAAGAAUAAAUGAUGGAAAAAUCAUUCUGACGGUACCUAAUGAAUAAGCCCCGGCUAACUAUGUGCCAGCAGCCGCGGUAAUACAUAGGGGGCAAGCGUUAUCCGGAAUUAUUGGGCGUAAAGGGUGCGUAGGCGGUUAAAUAAGUUUAUGGUCUAAGUGCAAUGCUCAACAUUGUGAUGCUAUAAAAACUGUUUAGCUAGAGUAAGAUAGAGGCAAGUGGAAUUCCAUGUGUAGUGGUAAAAUGCGUAAAUAUAUGGAGGAACACCAGUAGCGAAGGCGGCUUGCUGGGUCUUUACUGACGCUGAGGCACGAAAGCGUGGGGAGCAAACAGGAUUAGAUACCCUGGUAGUCCACGCCGUAAACGAUGAGUACUAAACGUUGGGUAAAACCAGUGUUGAAGUUAACACAUUAAGUACUCCGCCUGAGUAGUACGUACGCAAGUAUGAAACUUAAAGGAAUUGACGGGACUCCGCACAAGCGGUGGAUCAUGUUGUUUAAUUCGAAGGUACCCGAAAAACCUCACCAGGUCUUGACAUGCUUCUGCAAAGCUGUAGAAACACAGUGGAGGUUAUCAGUUGCACAGGUGGUGCAUGGUUGUCGUCAGCUCGUGUCGUGAGAUGUUGGGUUAAGUCCCGCAACGAGCGCAACCCUUAUUGUUAGUUACCAGCACGUAAUGGUGGGGACUUUAGCAAGACUGCCAGUGAUAAAUUGGAGGAAGGUGGGGACGACGUCAAAUCAUCAUGCCCCUUAUGACCUGGGCUACAAACGUGAUACAAUGGCUGUUACAAAGGGUAGCUGAAGCGCAAGUUUUUGGCGAAUCUCAAAAAAACAGUCUCAGUUCGGAUUGAAGUCUGCAACUCGACUUCAUGAAGUUGGAAUCGCUAGUAAUCGCGAAUCAGCAUGUCGCGGUGAAUACGUUCUCGGGGUUUGUACACACCGCCCGUCAAACCACGAAAGUG